This is a non-coding RNA of Otolemur garnettii (small-eared galago), 332 nucleotides long. Lineage: Eukaryota; Metazoa; Chordata; Mammalia; Primates; Galagidae. The record is from Rfam.
GCCGGGCGUUGUGGCCGGCGCCUGUAGUCCCAGCUACUUGGGAGGCGGAGGCAGGAGACUCGCUUGAGCCCAGGAGUUGGAGGUUGCUGUGAGCUGUGAUGCCAUGGUACUCUACCCAGGACAACAGCCUGAGGCUCUGUCUCAAAAAAAUAAAAAAAAAUAAAAUGCAAUGUCUGAGUUUUGGGAGACUUCAUUUAAUAAGUACUGCCAGUGAUUCUUUUUUUUUUUUUUUUUGAGACAGAGCCUCAAGCUGUCCCCCUGGGUAGAGUGCUGUGGCAUCACAGCUCACAGCAACCUCCAACUCCUGGGCUCAAGCAAGUCUCUUGCCUCCG